This 253-nucleotide ribosomal RNA is filed under the name uncultured bacterium. RNAcentral describes it as "partial 16S ribosomal RNA". It matches the Rfam family "Bacterial small subunit ribosomal RNA", at positions 524 to 776 of the family's 1533-position model. The record is from RNAcentral.
UACGUAGGGUGCAGGCGUUAUCCGGAAUUACUGGGCGUAAAGCGCGCGUAGGCGGUCUUUUAAGUCAGAUGUGAAAACCCCGGGCUUAACCUGGGAACUGCGUUUGAAACUGGAAGGCUAGAGUGUGGCAGAGGGGGGUGGAAUUCCACGUGUAGCAGUGAAAUGCGUAGAUAUGUGGAGGAACACCGAUGGCGAAGGCAGCCCCCUGGGCUAACACUGACGCUCAUGCACGAAAGCGUGGGGAGCAAACAGG